RNAcentral lists this ribosomal RNA (444 nucleotides) under uncultured bacterium. RNAcentral describes it as "bacterial SSU rRNA". It matches the Rfam family "Bacterial small subunit ribosomal RNA", at positions 331 to 792 of the family's 1533-position model. The record is from RNAcentral.
CCAGACUCCUACGGGAGGCAGCAGUGGGGGAUAUUGCACAAUGGGGGGAACCCUGAUGCAGCGACGCCGCGUGGGUGAAGAAGCGCCUCGGCGCGUAAAGCCCUGUCAGCAGGGAAGAAAAUGACGGUACCUGGCUAAGAAGCCCCGGCUAACUACGUGCCAGCAGCCGCGGUAAUACGUAGGGGGCAAGCGUUAUCCGGAUUUACUGGGUGUAAAGGGAGCGUAGGCGGCAGGGCAAGCCUGAUGUGAAAGCCCGGGGCCCAACCCCGGGACUGCUCUGGGAACUGUGCGGCUGGAGUGCGGGAGGGGCAGGCGGAAUUCCUGGUGUAGCGGUGAAAUGCGUAGAUAUUAGGAAGAACACCAGUGGCGAAGGCGGCUUUCUGGACUGAAACUGACGCUGAGGCACGAAAGCGUGGGGAGCGAACAGGAUUAGAUACCCCUGUA